This is a non-coding RNA of Camellia sinensis, 3277 nucleotides long. The record is from RefSeq and is a predicted model, not a curated record. NCBI's taxonomy places the organism in Eukaryota, Viridiplantae, Streptophyta, Magnoliopsida, Ericales, Theaceae.
GAUGGAAUUAAGCCAGCAAAAACUCCUCCCCAUAUAUACACAGAUAGGAUAAAGCCCUUCCCUUUCUCCCAUCACAACUCUAAUCCAUUCUGUGAGUGUAGAGUGUUGAAAAUGGAAAUGGAAAUGAGACCGUUUGAAACAGUUGUUCAACUCCCUCCGGUUGUGGCGGAGCAGCCGCCUGAAUCUGCUCUUCAAGGUCCCCAUCCUCUUGAUCCCGCCGCCGAGCCUUCUGAAUCGCUAGCCUAAGCUCCUCCUCCUCCUGUUGAUGCCCCGCCUGAACCAGUAAUUCCACGCAAUGCUCAGCAACAAGACCUAGAAUUGCCGAAGCUAGUUGUAGCGUUCUGCUUGACAGCAGCUUUUGAAAUCUCCUUCCGAUCCGUCCAGACUCGUAAACACUACCCUAUAACCUUCCAAUUGCCGUGUCUGUUAAUGGUGUUUGCACUCGCUUUUCUCGUUGUUGCUAAAUACAUCGUUGCCAACUACCCAAAACCAGGCCGCUUGCUUGAGCACGCUGGACUACUCUGUGGAGUUACCGCUUUCUUUGCGGCCAUCACCGUCUCUUUCUCUCUCUGCCUCAAGCUCAUUUCCUGGAUGGGAUUGGAAAUAAGCAUAGAAUAACAGGUGCACAAUACAUGUCCUGUUCCUGAAGUUUGUGUUUUCUACUUUGUAUUUAUACAUCUCUCAUUGAUAACAUCUAAAAUAACUUCGAAAGCCUGAUAAGUGAUGAGCGCUUGGCCGGUCGCGAUGACCUUCGGUGCUAUUACUGGAAUAGAACAACCAACUUCACUGGAUAAUUAUACUUGAUUGACUAGCAUAAGCAAAUAAUAUGAAGUGCCAAGCACUUAAAAGAAUUUGAAUAGAACAACCAACUUCACUGGAUAAUUAUACUUGAUUGACUAGCAUAAGCAAAUAAUAUGAAGUGCCAAGCACUUAAAAGGUAUUGGUCAUUCUCAGUGACUCCUAUUAGUUCUUCUGUGUCAUUUUACAUCCUUUAACAUUUGCUCAAUAUUGAUGACUGCAUAUUUCAAUAAACUCACAGAAUUUGACUUUCUUUAUAGAAUGCUUGCAUGGCAGUGAAGCUGUAAUAUCUACUCAGAUAGUUCUCACAUCCUGAUUGUCUCUAGCAUGUGAGUGAUUUUAUCUAUACAUUAUCCACUUAUUAUAUAAAUGAGUUCAAAUUUCCUGUUGCAGGAUGUUGAUGAAUGAAACACUGUCAAUGGCAGAUCCUUGAACUUACCAAAAAAAGAAAAAAAAAGAAAAGAAAGAAAGGUAGAUCCUUCAACUUAUACGAAUAUGAUGAACAAAAUAUUCCAGUUCAGAUUCAAUUACUAUAUUCUGAUAUGCCAGUAGCUAGGGACUUCAUUUUUCUUGUUUAAAGGCUUAUUACCAUCGAUUUUAUUGCUUUGUGUGCUAUUUAACUUGUUACAAAGCCUUGUUUUUAGUGUAACUCUGUUGGAUUCUAUGUCAGUUUCAUCGCUAAAAUGAACAAUUAAGAUUACUGGAAAAUCUGUUACUCUCAACAUAGAGAAUUCUAACCUGCUGAAGCUAGCAUAUGCUAAUUUUUUAUUUCGAGUCAGCUUGAGGAUGGUUGCACUGUGGCAAUGCAUUUUUCUACUGGUUAAAUGGUGGAUCAUCUCCCAUAAAAAUAAAAACAAAAGAAAGAAAGAUAGAAAGUAAAAAAAAGGAAAAAAAAUGGUGGAUCAUCAAUCUUACAUGACAAUAAUAUUCUGUUUAACUUGUUAAAAAGCCUUGUUUUUAGUGUAACUCUGCUGGGUUCUAUAUCAGUUUCAUUGCUGAUAUGAACGAUUAAGAUUACUGGAAAAUUUGUUACUUUCAACAUAGAGGGCUCUAACCAGCUGAAGCAAGCAGAUGCUAAUUUUUAUUUCGAAUUAGCUUCAGGAUGGUUGGACUGUGGCAAUGCAUUUUUCUAUUGGUUAAAUGGUGGAUCAUGAAUCUUAAUGACAAUAAUGUUUUCUGUUGUAGGCAAUGUGAGGUUAGUUGGCUUUGCUAACAUAAAUUCUUCAACUAAUUAAGGCGUAGUGAUGGCUAAAGGAAAUUGUUUGCUAGUGAAGAUCCAGUCAUCCUCUGAUCAGCUGCUAUUAUGUAGCUUGGGUAUUUUUUAUAUUAACAUUAACAGUUAGGGGUGAACCGCUGAUAUGUACCUUGGGUAUUUUUUAUAUUAACAUCAACAGUUAGGGGUGAAGAAUGGAACAUUUCAUUUUGCAUGACAACUUGGUAAUUUGAAAUAUACUUUUAUAAUCAUAUUACUGUACAAGGGAUGUUUAUCUUGCACUUGUGAAUAGGGAUUUUCUGGACCAAACAACUGUUUGGCUCAAUUGAUUUGUACAUGAAGUUGACAUCCUCUUACUUUUGUUUCACAUCCAAGUCUUUUCUACAAACCUGUAUUGUCCAACAAGAUGAGGGAUUUUAACUUUGUUAAUUAAAAAUUUCUUUUCUACGGUAGAAAUGUGAUUCUCGAACAAUUAAGAGCUGCCAAGGUAGUGAAACGGCACAUGAAUAAAUCAUCUUCUUAGAGGGAACAAGGUUUGACGAACCAAGACAUUGAUUAUGGAUGUUCUAAUGAAAUUCAGCUGUGACAUUGAAGUUUAUUUUAUGCCGUUGAUGAUGUCCUGUUUCGUUACAUUUUGAUUUGUUUCUAAAGUGACAAAAGUUGAAGUUUCCCUGAAGUAGUCACUCAAGAAUAAUGUGGAGCACUCCCCAGUUGCACAAGUGACCUCUACAUACUGGAGAGCUGUCCGUAAGCUACUCUAGAUCCAGAACACCAUUUCAGAGUCCCAGAAGCACCAGGUAAUUUUUCUACUCUUCAAUUUUCUUUUUCUUUUUCUUUUUUGGCUGCUCUGUCUCAAAUACCACUACACCUGCUGCGUAAACCCUAAAGACUGCAGUGUCAACCAAUUUCUUUGGUCGUUGCUCAACAUCGUCUUAAUUGGCCUAAGCAAAUGAUAGCAUUUUGCUUAACUUUAUCUGUCAAAAUAGCCCUCCAAUUUAUUCAAACCUGACUACUCUAACUUCCUCCAAUUUUUUUUUUCCCCUUGCAUUCUCACUAGCCUUUGCCUCCCUCUUUGUAGUGACUUGCUAUCUUCUUUGCUGCCACAGCAUUCUGCAUUGCUAUUUGAUUCCCUACAACAGCAGUCCUCCAUGCACCAACUGGUCUGUUUAUGCUGUCUCCUUGCUACUCAUUGUCAUAUACACCACACUAAUAAGCGUGAACGAGAACCUCAACAACCCCCCCCUCCCCUCAAAAAAAAAAAAAAAA